UUCAAUGUUUCAAUGUUGGAA
This is a non-coding RNA of Caenorhabditis elegans, 21 nucleotides long. The record is from Ensembl. Lineage: Eukaryota; Metazoa; Nematoda; Chromadorea; Rhabditida; Rhabditidae.